RNAcentral lists this ribosomal RNA (506 nucleotides) under uncultured bacterium. RNAcentral's name for it is "partial 16S ribosomal RNA". It matches the Rfam family "Bacterial small subunit ribosomal RNA", at positions 29 to 523 of the family's 1533-position model. The record is from RNAcentral.
AGUGAACGCUGGCGGUAGGCCUAACACAUGCAAGUCGAACGGCAGCACAGAGGAGCUUGCUCCUUGGGUGGCGAGUGGCGGACGGGUGAGGAAUACAUCGGAAUCUACUCUGUCGUGGGGGAUAACGUAGGGAGACUUACGCUAAUACCGCAUACGACCUACGGGUGAAAGCAGGGGACCUUCGGGCCUUGCGCGAUUGAAUGAGCCGAUGUCGGAUUAGCUAGUUGGCGGGGUAAAGGCCCACCAAGGAGGCGAUCCGUAGCUGGUCUGAGAGGAUGAUCAGCCACACUGGAACUGAGACACGGUCCAGACUCCUACGGGAGGCAGCAGUGGGGAAUAUUGGACAAUGGGCGCAAGCCUGAUCCAGCCAUACCGCGUGGGUGAAGAAGGCCUUCGGGUUGUAAAGCCCUUUUGUUGGGAAAGAAAUCCAGCUGGCUAAUACCCGGUUGGGAUGACGGUACCCAAAGAAUAAGCACCGGCUAACUUCGUGCCAGCAGCCGCCGCAG